This is a long non-coding RNA of Orcinus orca (killer whale), 3199 nucleotides long. RefSeq lists it as uncharacterized. NCBI's taxonomy places the organism in Eukaryota, Metazoa, Chordata, Mammalia, Artiodactyla, Delphinidae. The transcript is spliced from 2 exons. The record is from RefSeq and is a predicted model, not a curated record.
CGCGGCGGCGCGGCUGAGGGGGGCACGUGACUCCGCGGGGCGGAGCUGGCACUACGAUGGCGGGCAGGCGGCUGGGAAAAUGCAGCUCAGCCGCGGGGAGGGUGGUCCUUGCUGUAACUGAGGCCGCUGAGGUAUUUAGACUUUCCAAUGAAUACUUUCCGGGUAUGCCGGCGGCUCGGGGUCCCGGGCAGCUUUCCCACUCGGGCGCUCGGGAUCAGCGCUCGCCCCGACGUCCGAGACCCAAACACGCCGCUCUUCUCUCGUAAGUGGUUCGUGUGGAAGCGCGGAGACACGCCCGCGAGCGGGGCGCGCACGGCAGGGACGCACGCGGCUCCGAGUCCGGCGGCCCCACAACGCGGGCCGGACGCGCUCCCGGCCCAGAGUGGUCCUGGGAGGGGCCGCUCCACGCGCUGUGUUCCCCUCCCCGCCCGGGGCAGAGACCAAGCAGAUUGCCAAUAACCCUGAACCGAACAAAACCUGCUGUGCACGCUGCGAGGACAUGCACUCUUGCACACUGACACCAUCGCCGAGGGAAGCAGCGCCGGGAAGACCAAGCAUCGGCGUAUGCGGCUACCCUCUGACUGACGGGAGAGCCACCUCCAGCCGAGCGCGUGUGGGCACAGGCACAAGAUGCAGAGGCGGCGCACACUCAUCGUGACAGCACUUUUAACAGCAACAGAGGAGCCACAAGCCCACGCCAGGGCUUGGUCAAGUCGGCGGAGCCGCGUGUCUUCAGAGGCCAGGACGAUGUGGGCCCCCACUCCCCGUUCAUCCUGAUGCCACGCGUGCGUCUCCUGCCCCUCCAAACACGCCGCUGCCCACCUGCGUGAGGGGCUCAGGCCCUUGGCACAGCCCUCCCGCCCGCAGAGGCUGCCAGGCUCCACUGGGGUGAGCCAGGCUGCGCCCUCUCAGACAGGCCUGGAUCUGAGCCGCAGCAGAGGGGCCGAUCCUGGAUCCUCUGCAGACUCUGGCUUCCCGGGAGCAGCCCCUCACCUAUGACUCACAGUCCCUCAGUGUCAACUCUCCCGUCCAGGGUGCCGUGCGGUUCUCCCGAGAGGAUGUUCCCAGCAGGCCCGCCUCCACUUGCCCCUUCACAUCCACCCAGCACCUAGGUACUGGCCGCUACCUAAGCUCCAGACCCAACCUGCAGCCCAGGGACAAGGCUGUGGACCUGCUGCAGAACGUCGAGACCUCUGGAGCCCUUCGACCUCUGGGACAGCCCUGCAGCUUGGGGCCAAGGGCAGCGGGGUCAGUCCAAGCAGCUCAGACGACAAAUGCCAAGCCGGGCAGCCCCCAAGGACAAGACGGCCACUAGGACGGGACUGGAGCACCCAAAACAUGAGGUUCACUGACCCUGACUGGAUGCUCAAGUAAACUCCCGACUCUGAGAUCGGAUUUGCGCUUUUUAAGUGAGAGACGGCUACUGUGUGCAUGGUUCACACAGAGGGAGUUAUUGGACCUUCCUUCAAACACUGUCAUUAACGUUAGUGCCGAGGUCCGGUGGACGUCUCUGAGCGCUGCAGCUCUCUGUCCCUGAGCCCUGCGUGGGCACAGCCCGGGCGGUGAAGGGAGGCUCUGCAGCAGCGGGGCGCCCAGCGCCUCUGCAGAAGGCACUGGAGGACAGGGCCCUACAGUCCCCUGAGCAGCCGUGGGUGUGACAUGCAGAGGGAGAGGGGCUCCUCCUGACGCCACCUGCGCGUCUCCACCCGUUCCACCUCCUGAAACACCGAGGAAGCGCAACACACAACCUCCUCGUGGAAGGCCCUCCAGCUCUGACGGUGAGCGACACCCCAGAGAAAUGGGUGAAGUCAGACACAGGACAGGAUAGGCAGCCUCGCCUGCACCAAUCAAACACAAGCAGAACCAACAGAUGGCAUCGGAAGUCACCUUUGAGGUGAGAGGGGGCAAUAGGGGACCUAGAGGCGCUGGGACUGUGCUCCUGGGUCCACAGACGUGCCCGCUUGAUGCAGAUCCCCUGAGCUGUAGACUGAGGGUCCGCAUGCUCCAGCUUACACCUCAACAACAAGGUAAACAAGCACACCCCUAAAACGGCUCAGCCGGCACCAUGACUGUGCUGGAGGCCUCGACCCGCACACGAUGAUCCGGACACCUGCUCACCUGGAUGGCCACGCGGGGGGACUGGGAGAAGUACCAGAGCGGGACACCGAACAGGCUGAUGAGUGCGGUCUUGGUCUCAUACGUCUCAGAGCAGCGGGUACUCAAGAUGCUCCCACCUACAGCAGAGUUGAAAUGUGUCUCAGUAUCUUGUCCUACUGUUUCAGAAACAAUAUCACUACCCACCUGUAGAGAUUUAUCUGAAAUGUUCUAAAAAUUCUCACGUUUCUAACUUAUAUAAAGAAUCUUCUACUUGAAGAUCAGCUCUAUUCUUAAUUUUACUUUUUCCAAAUUCAGUGUCAACAGUUCACAACUACUUUAGGACACACAGUCCCUACCACCCACCAAAGACUCUUAAAAUACUGGGCUCCCCGCCUGCCACUAUAGGGACAGCGACUGAGUGAACUUUUGUUCACGUUUUAAAAUAAAUAAUGAUGAAUUCAACCAGGCACCAGUGUUACCUGUCAGGUUUUCAGAGGACCUACUUAAUAGGCCAAAGUGAUAAAAUAUUAUGACGAUUACCAAUUGCUGGGGUAAAUAGGAAGUUGCUAACAAGGACAGGGUUUCUAUUUGGAAAUAAACAGAAAUGUCCUGGGGCUUCUUUGGUGGCACAGUGGUUAAGAAUCUGCCUGCCAGUGCAGGGAACACGGGUUCACGCCCUGGUCCGGGAAGAUCCCACAUGCCGCGGAGCAACUAAGCCCGAGCGCCACAACUGCUGAGCCUGUGCUCUAGAGCCCGUGAGCCACAGCUACUGAGCCUGUGUGCCACAGCUACUGAAGCCUGCGUGCCUAGAGCCCGUGCUCUGCAACAAGAGAAGCCACCGCAGUGAGAAGCCGGCGCACGACAAAGAGUAGCCCCUGCUUGCCGUAACUAGAGAAAGCCCGCAUGCAGCAACGAAGACUCAAUGCAGCCAAAAAAUAAAUAAAUUAAAAAAAAAAAAAAAGUCCUGGAAUUAGGUAGUGGUGGCUGUUGUACAACAUAAUAAAUAUACUAAAAGCCAUGAAACUGUACACUUGAAAAUGGUGAAGUUUGUUAUGUGAAUUAUACCUCAAUAAUAAUAAUAAAGAGUGUUAAAAAAAAAAAA